AGAGUUUGAUCCUGGCUCAGGAUGAACGCUGGCGGUAUGCUUAACACAUGCAAGUCGAACGGUCUCUUCGGAGAUAGUGGCGGACGGGUGAGUAACGCGUGAGAAUCUGGCUCUAGGUCUGGGACAACCACUGGAAACGGUGGCUAAUACCGGGUGUGCCGAAAGGUGAAAGGUUAACUGCCUGGAGAUGAGCUCGCGUCUGAUUAGCUAGUUGGUAGGGUAAAAGCUUACCAAGGCGACGAUCAGUAGCUGGUCUGAGAGGACGAUCAGCCACACUGGGACUGAGACACGGCCCAGACUCCUACGGGAGGCAGCAGUGGGGAAUUUUCCGCAAUGGGCGAAAGCCUGACGGAGCAAUACCGCGUGAGGGAGGAAGGCUCUUGGGUUGUAAACCUCUUUUCUCAGGGAAGAAAAAUGACGGUACUUGAGGAAUAAGCAUCGGCUAACUCCGUGCCAGCAGCCGCGGUAAUACGGAGGAUGCAAGCGUUAUCCGGAAUGAUUGGGCGUAAAGCGUUCGCAGGUGGCAUUGAAAGUCUGCUGUUAAAGAGUUUGGCUUAACCAAAUAUAGGCAGUGGAAACUUCAAAGCUAGAGUGCGGUAGGGGCAGAGGGAAUUCCUGGUGUAGCGGUGAAAUGCGUAGAGUUCAGGAAGAACACCGGUGGCGAAAGCGCUCUGCUAGGCCGUAACUGACACUGAGGGACGAAAGCUAGGGGAGCGAAUGGGAUUAGAUACCCCAGUAGUCCUAGCCGUAAACGAUGGAUACUAGGCGUUGCUUGUAUCGACCCGAGCAGUGCCGUAGCUAACGCGUUAAGUAUCCCGCCUGGGGAGUACGCACGCAAGUGUGAAACUCAAAGGAAUUGACGGGGGCCCGCACAAGCGGUGGAGUAUGUGGUUUAAUUCGAUGCAACGCGAAGAACCUUACCAAGGCUUGACAUGUCCGGAAUCUCUGUGAAAGUAGAGAGUGCCUUCGGGAGCCGGAACACAGGUGGUGCAUGGCUGUCGUCAGCUCGUGUCGUGAGGUGUUGGGUUAAGUCCCGCAACGAGCGCAACCCCCGUUUUUAGUUGCCAGCAUUAAGUUGGGCACUCUAGAGAGACUGCCGGUGACAAACCGGAGGAAGGUGGGGAUGACGUCAAGUCAGCAUGCCCCUUACGUCUUGGGCUACACACGUACUACAAUGCGAUGGACAAAGGGCAGCAAGCUAGCAAUAGCAAGCAAAUCUCGGAAACCAUCGCUCAGUUCAGAUCGAAGGCUGCAACUCGCCUUCGUGAAGUCGGAAUCGCUAGUAAUUGCAGGUCAGCAUACUGCAGUGAAUUCGUUCCCGGGCCUUGUAC
This 1331-nucleotide ribosomal RNA is filed under the name metagenome. RNAcentral describes it as "bacterial SSU rRNA". It matches the Rfam family "Bacterial small subunit ribosomal RNA", at positions 8 to 1386 of the family's 1533-position model. The record is from RNAcentral.